UUCAGAAAUAUGAUAGUGGUGUUUAAAUGUGGGUUUUGAGGAUGGAAAAAUCGUUGUGGUACUUCGUUGUGUUUUCCCAAUUUAAGACUGUCAGAUAGGGACACUUGGACAAAAUGGAUUUGUAAGUUUGCAUUGAAGGGUAGCUUGAUUUGACUGUGAGAGGCGGGUGUUUGUUGACUGGGUGGUAGAAAACAACUAUUUUCAUCUGAAAUGCGGUUCUCAUUAAAACUUUCAGCUGGAGAGGGUUGGUACCUUAUGAAGCCGCCACACCUGGACACACAAGAAUGCAUGGGUGGUUCUUUCUCAGGAAGAUGAUGAAUAGGAACUUCUAUUUUGUUGGAGCUACCGUUGCCUUUCAAGAGCUGGACACGCACAAACAGAGAAUUUGAAGCAGAUGGCUGGUGUAGGGGUUCUUUAAUUCGGAUAGGUGGGAGAGUAGCUGGACAUUUAAAAACAUGCGAAACUGGUUUGACAAGAAUCCCCGUUGAGUCUCCAUACCUUAGGAUUUUUUCCUACUCCUGUCCAUCAACUCUAAGCCAUUGGCAGUAUGGAAGCUCGGUUACCAUGCCAAAAUUAAUGGGGCAAGCUUGAUGAGUGUUUUCCAGACACCCACAUAGGGAGCAAAACUCUUAGAGUCUUUCAUAUUUGAAUGAUAUUUUUGCUAGACUUCUUUGUAUCCUUGGUAAAGAAAAACCAUCUGGAAUUGGUUUUGUAGUGUCUAUUUCCACUCUAAUCCUCAGGAACUCUUUUGCAGCGAUGGUGGAGGUUAUUAUGGGAUCAAUUUCGAGUAGGGCUAUUCAUUUGAGUUUUGACCUGAGAACCCGGAUGUUUCUGAACCGGGUUAGCCCGGGUCAAACCUGAUUCGGAACCCAGAUUAAUCAAGAUUUUUAAAAACCCAAAUUCUGGGUUUUGGGUUUGAACCCAGUUCCCUCUCUUCUUCUGCUUCUUCUUCUUCUUCUUCUAUUUUAAUAAUUAGUUAGUACGAUUUGAUCAUCUUGUUGCCCAAAAGUACUCGUUGCAUUUACAUUUUAAACAAGGGUGUAGAAGUAAAGUUACAUUUACAUUGACACCAAAGGAACUACUUUCACUGCCAAAAACCAGCAGUCAUCCAACUUGAUUAAGUUAUGAGUACAAACUCCAUGAUAUAAAUGUUAAAGAAUUGGUUACUAGCUAAUUGGCUAGCAAAUGAUCAAGUUGCUGGUAGAGUAUGCAUUUCCACUA
This is a long non-coding RNA of Carya illinoinensis, 1221 nucleotides long. RefSeq lists it as uncharacterized. The transcript is spliced from 2 exons. NCBI's taxonomy places the organism in Eukaryota, Viridiplantae, Streptophyta, Magnoliopsida, Fagales, Juglandaceae. The record is from RefSeq and is a predicted model, not a curated record.